Molecule: long non-coding RNA, 506 nt
Organism: Raphanus sativus (radish)
Lineage: Eukaryota; Viridiplantae; Streptophyta; Magnoliopsida; Brassicales; Brassicaceae
Exons: 3
Source: RefSeq, a predicted model, not a curated record
CUCCUUUUGAAACCGUCGGGUUAUUCUCUCUCAAAGGUUUUUUUUUCUCUCUCAAAGGUUCAAACUCAUUGUAGAUGAAAUCUGGAAAAACUAUUGAAUCGAAGUAUGGAACUUGAGAAUCGAGAAAUAGGGUCCUUUCGAUUUUCUUCACUGAGCUAAGGAGGUUUGGUUUCGAACUUCUUCUCAUCGUCCUCUUCUCUCGCGUUCACUAUCACUCAAUCUCAGUCCCGAAACUCAGUCUUCGCUUCAAUUGAUGGAUUUGGAGUCUCUUAAUACAAUAGCAAUCCUUGAUGCUCAAAGGGAAUACAUGGACAUGAAUGAAGAAGAUGCUUUGAAUGAGGAAAAUGCAAUGAGGGAGGGAGGGAGAAACAAGCUUGAUGCAAACUGUUUUUAAUUGAGAUUGUGCACUAUCUAGUUCAUUUGAGAUUUUUUUAUUAUUGUUGUGUCAUGUUGUACUUUUUAACCGAGAAUUCUUAACAAAAAUCAAAACUUUUUUUUCAUAAACA